UCUGAAAGGGACAUGAUACCAAAUGAUACAAUAAGACAUAGAAUGGAAAUAAGACAUGAUAUUAUUGAUCUUAAGAACACAACAGUUGGUUUGGUACAGACAAGUCCAUAAAUACUUAUGAUACUAGGUGUGAUUUAAAUGAUAAUAAUUUUUUUAGAUUGCCAUACUAAAUGAGGAACAUAUUCUGUGCCGUGGCUUAAAAAUUCAUCUUUAGGGAAGCUCAUUCACUGAAAGGCUGAAAAUGGGAAAAAUGAAUGUAUCAUAACUGAUCCUUGGAGAGAUAAGGAGAAGAAGAUUCAUAAAUUUCAAGAUUUGGAGGAGUU
Harmonia axyridis is the source of this 323-nucleotide long non-coding RNA. RefSeq lists it as uncharacterized. The record is from RefSeq and is a predicted model, not a curated record. The transcript has 3 exons. NCBI's taxonomy places the organism in Eukaryota, Metazoa, Arthropoda, Insecta, Coleoptera, Coccinellidae.